This 254-nucleotide ribosomal RNA is filed under the name uncultured bacterium. RNAcentral's name for it is "partial 16S ribosomal RNA". It matches the Rfam family "Bacterial small subunit ribosomal RNA", at positions 524 to 776 of the family's 1533-position model. The record is from RNAcentral.
UACGUAGGGUGCGAGCGUUGUCCGGAAUUAUUGGGCGUAAAGAGCUCGUAGGCGGUCUGUCGCGUCGAUCGUGAAAACUUGGGGCUUAACCCUGAGCUUGCGGUCGAUACGGGCAUGACUGGAGUUCGGCAGGGGAGACUGGAAUUCCUGGUGUAGCGGUGAAAUGCGCAGAUAUCAGGAGGAACACCGGUGGCGAAGGCGGCUCUCUGGUACGUGACUGACGCUGAGACGCGAAAGCGUGGGGAGCGAACAGG